RNAcentral lists this ribosomal RNA (452 nucleotides) under uncultured bacterium. Its description in RNAcentral is "bacterial SSU rRNA". It matches the Rfam family "Bacterial small subunit ribosomal RNA", at positions 60 to 501 of the family's 1533-position model. The record is from RNAcentral.
AGUCGAGGGGCAGCAUGAUUGAAGCUUGCUUCAAUUGAUGGCGACCGGCGCACGGGUGAGUAACGCGUAUCCAACCUUCCGUACACUCAGGGAUAGCCUUUCGAAAGAAAGAUUAAUACCCGAUGGUAUGAUGAGAUUGCAUGAUAGCAUCAUUAAAGAUUUAUCGGUGUACGAUGGGGAUGCGUUCCAUUAGGUAGUAGGCGGGGUAACGGCCCACCUAGCCGACGAUGGAUAGGGGUUCUGAGAGGAAGGUCCCCCACAUUGGAACUGAGACACGGUCCAAACUCCUACGGGAGGCAGCAGUGAGGAAUAUUGGUCAAUGGACGAGAGUCUGAACCAGCCAAGUAGCGUGAAGGAUGAAGGUCCUACGGAUUGUAAACUUCUUUUAUAAGGGAAUAAAACCUCCCACGUGUGGGAGCUUGUAUGUACCUUAUGAAUAAGCAUCGGCUAAC